UACAGAGGUCCCGAGCGUUGUUCGGAUUCACUGGGCGUAAAGGGUGCGUAGGUGGCUUGAAAAGUUUGAUGUGAAAGCUCAGGGCUUAACCCUGAAAUGGCAUUGAAUACUGUCGAGCUGGAGGUUUGGAGGGGGGACUGGAAUUCUUGGUGUAGCAGUGAAAUGCGUAGAUAUCAAGAGGAACACCAGUGGCGAAGGCGAGUCCCUGGACAACACCUGACACUGAGACACGAAGGCCAGGGGAGCAAACGGG
Molecule: ribosomal RNA, 253 nt
Filed under: uncultured bacterium
Lineage: Bacteria
Description: partial 16S ribosomal RNA
Rfam family: Bacterial small subunit ribosomal RNA
Source: RNAcentral